GUAGUCUCGCACAGAUGCAUAUCAAUAAGCGGAGGAAAAGAAACUAACAAGGAUUCCCUAGUAACGGCGAGUGAAGCGGGAAGAGCUCAAAUUUGAAAUCUUCAAGGUUUUACCUUGACGAAUUGUAGUUUAAAGAAGUGUUUUCUGUUGAAGUUUUGGUAAAAGUUCUUUGGAAUAGGACAUCAUAGAGGGUGAGAAUCCCGUAUUUGACCAUUACUUUCAGCUGUGUGAUAGCACUUUCAAAGAGUCGGAUUGUUUGGGAAUGCAGUCCAAAAUGGGUGGUAAAUUUCAUCUAAAGCUAAAUAUUGGCGAGAGACCGAUAGCGAACAAGUACCGUGAGGGAAAGAUGAAAAGAACUUUGAAAAGAGAGUUAAACAGUACGUGAAAUUGUCAAAAGGGAAGCGUUUGACACCAGUGUUGUUUUCUCGAAAAUCAAUUAAAAAGAGUUAGAUUUUGUUGUGUAUUGACCUUAACAGCUUGCAUUUCAAUUUUCUUGCUUUUUUUAAUGCACUUUUCGUUUAACAAGUCAACAUCAGUUUCUUUUGUUGUAAAAAGGUCAUUGGAAGGUGGCUUUCUUUUCGGAGAAAGUGUUUAUAGCCUUUGACUCCUGCAAUCGGAGAGACUGUGGCCUGCAGCGUAGAUCCUUCGGGGUUAGAUACAUUUGUGCUAAGUUAUAGCUUUUUAUAGACAACUUGUUGACUAUGAUUAGUCUUGUAGCUUACUCGCUUAUGCUAUUUUACCUACGCUUAGGAUGUUGAGCGCAUGUCUCUCUCU
Molecule: ribosomal RNA, 774 nt
Filed under: uncultured Neocallimastigales
Lineage: Eukaryota; Fungi; Neocallimastigomycota; Neocallimastigomycetes; Neocallimastigales
Description: partial large subunit ribosomal RNA
Rfam family: Eukaryotic large subunit ribosomal RNA
Source: RNAcentral